UGAUACUUCUACACUCUUGACAGAUAAAUUCAUUUUUUUAUUUUUUUUAUUUUAGGUAUUUAAACGUCACUUUUAAGCACUACAGUUAGGCUAUUUUGUGGCGGCCAGUUUUUAUUCGUGGAGGAAGCCUGAGUGCCAGGUGAAGACCAUGACCUUCGAUAGAAAAACUGACAAUCCUAGUCAAUUAAGAUUGGAGUCGAAUGCACCUGCACAAGCAGAGUUCAAACUCACAACCUCAGUGUUGACUGGCUAGUGAUUACAAUAGUAACUACUUAAAUCACUCGGCCACGGAGGCCCUAGAUAAAUUUUAAAUCUACAGUGGAGACAUA
RNAcentral lists this long non-coding RNA (329 nucleotides) under Mytilus galloprovincialis (Mediterranean mussel). The record is from RNAcentral. Lineage: Eukaryota; Metazoa; Mollusca; Bivalvia; Mytilida; Mytilidae.